Molecule: ribosomal RNA, 2193 nt
Filed under: Triticum aestivum (bread wheat)
Lineage: Eukaryota; Viridiplantae; Streptophyta; Magnoliopsida; Poales; Poaceae
Description: partial small subunit ribosomal RNA
Source: RNAcentral
AUGGAGAUGGACUUGAUAGACAUCUCAUGGUUAGCCCGUUUACCUAGGUUGAUGUAUCUUGACAUUAGUUCUAUGAAUCUCAGCUCAAUAGCUGAUUGGCCUCUUGCGGUGAACAUGAUUCCUUCUUUGAAAGACCUCCGCCUUUCUUACUGCUCACUUUCCAGUACAAACCAAUCCCUCACACACCUAAACCUCACAAAUCUUCAGCACCUUGAUCUCUCGCUUAACUACUUUGGUCAUCCAAUUGCGUCCAGUUGGUUUUGGAACGUAACAAGCAUCGAGUACCUCGACCUUUCUCAUACCUCCCUGCAUGGUCCAUUUCCUAAUGCGCUAGGAAACAUGACGUUUCUCCGCCAGCUAAACUUUUAUCACCACUCUUUUGGAACUGGAAACACAGCCACAAUGACAGUAGAUUUGAAAAAUCUAUGUGAUUUGGAAAUGAUAUGGCUUGAUGGGAGUCUCUCCUCUGGAAAUAUAACAGAGUUUAUGGAGAAAUUGCCACGCUGCCCGUCAAACAAAUUGCAAGAAUUGAAGCUGAGCAGCAACAAUAUGGUUGGCAUGCUGCCAAACAGAAUGGGCCACUUAACAAACUUAUCUAGUCUCGACCUGUCCUACAAUAACAUUACUGGAGCUAUACCGCCAUGGUUGGAAAAUUGCACUAGUUUGUCAUAUCUUUCUCUUUCCAGCAAUAGUCUCACUGGACCUAUACCAGUAGGGAUAGGGAGUUGCACUAUAUUAGACAUCCUCGACCUUUCUUACAAUGAUAUUACUGGAGCUAUACCACUAGGCAUAGGGAAUUUCACUACAUUGAGGUACCUUGUUCUUUCUCACAACCUUUUGAGUGGACAUGUGCCUUCUAAGAUUGGUAUGCUUGGUGAUUUGAUUGACCUUGACCUUAGCAACAAUAACCUGGAUGGCCUGAUCACGAGGGAACACAUGGUUUCUCUGAAGAACUUAAGGCACAUGGAUUUAUCGCAUAAUUCUUUCUCAGGACCUCUUCCGAUAGAAACUGGAGCUCAAUUUUUACUAGAAUUGUCUUUGUCCUCCAAUUACUUCAGUGGUCAUAUUCCUGGAUCUAUAUGUCAGUUGCGGAACCUACUUGUCUUGGAUCUAUCAGACAACUUUUUAGAGGGAGAACUUCCUCAGUGUUCUCACGGGCCUAACUUGGUUUUCCUCCUCUUAAGUAACAACGGCUUUUCUGGCAAGUUCCCAUCAUCACUUCGAAACUACUCGAGUUUGGCUUUCAUGGAUCUUUCAAGGAACAAUUUGUAUGGGACAUUGCCGUUGUGGAUUGAAGAAUUGGUACAGUUGCGCUUUUUGCAACUAAGCCACAACUUGUUGUAUGGAGAUAUUCCGAUGACUAUCACCAAUCUUCAACACCUUCAUCAAUUGAGUUUAGCUGGAAAUAAUAUAUCUGGAGUUAUACCUGAGUCUUUGUCAAAUUUAACAUCAAUGGCCCAAAAAGAUCCAGAGAACUCCGAGGACGACAUGUCUGCAUGGUACAACAACAAUGUAGGUCAAUUUAGAGGAGUUUGGCAUGUUGUGAUGAAGCGCCAAGAACUGAAGUAUGGUGCUGGAAUUUUUGAUGUGGUUGGUAUUGACCUAUCACUCAACCACUUAAUUGGAGAGAUUCCAGAAAGGAUAACUUCUCUUGAUGGAUUACUGAAUUUAAACUUAUCAUGGAACCACUUGAGUGGGAAAAUUCCCACGAAGAUUGGGGCUAUGAAAUCAAUCGAAUCACUCGACCUCUCAAGGAACAACCUUUAUGGUGAAAUCCCGGCAAGCUUAUCUGAAUUGACAUUUUUAAGCUCCUUGGACUUAUCAUAUAACAAUCUUACAGGAAGAAUUCCUCCAGGAAGUCAACUUGACACUAUCUACACUGAGAACCCGUCAAUAUACACUGGUAACAUUGGUUUGUGUGGCCCUCCUCUUGAAAGGAAUUGCUCAGGAAACAACUCACUGGAGCAUGUGAAUCAACCGAGAAGGGGCGGUGUUUAUGAGGCAAAGAUGUUCUUUCACUUUGGACUUGGAUCUGGGUAUGUGGCUGGCCUUUGGGUUGUGUUUUGUGCCAUGUUAUUCAAGAAAGCAUGGAGAGUUGCCUAUUUCCGCCUCUUUGACAAGUUGUAUGACAAGGCAUAUGUGUUUGUGGUUCUUACUUGGUGCAGGAGAAAUGGCAAGGCAAGUACAAGUUGA